Long non-coding RNA from Cyprinus carpio carpio, 439 nucleotides. Lineage: Eukaryota; Metazoa; Chordata; Actinopteri; Cypriniformes; Cyprinidae. The record is from Ensembl.
CUCACGUUCCACCAACACAUCAGGGUUAAUCCUUUCACUCAAGAAACCCGAACAAUCCAUCGGCAGCAGUGGAAACAGGAGUUCUUGAAACUGAAAUGAUUCAUUUAUAUUCAUCCAGCUGAUUUAAUUCCCGUAUCGCCAAAACCUUCACAUCCUCUGGUCGUACUCCAUUCGUCUUAAUCCACACUUUGCAGUUCCAGCGCGACUUUGUGUUUGUGGUUCACAAAGCGCACAAUGAUGGCAGGAGGCCCAAGGAUCGUAGAAUGACGCUUCUUAGGUAGCAAGUGACAGGCAGAAAAGUUUUCACUCUGAACUUCAAUAUCUUUGCUCACCAAGAAUGAAACAACCUGCUGUUCCAGGGAUUGGGUCUCUAUCUCCAGUGCAUUAGCAUCGAGGACUCCUGCCUCUGGAUCCGCCACCCUCGCAUAGGUACGGUGUU